Molecule: ribosomal RNA, 500 nt
Filed under: uncultured bacterium
Lineage: Bacteria
Description: partial 16S ribosomal RNA
Rfam family: Bacterial small subunit ribosomal RNA
Source: RNAcentral
AUUGAACGCUGGCGGCAGGUCUAACACAUGCAAGUCGAGCGGAUGACGGGAGCUCGCUCCUUGAUUCAGCGGCGGACGGGUGAGUAAUGCCUAGGAAUCUGCCUGGUAGUGGGGGACAACGUUUCGAAAGGAACGCUAAUACCGCAUACGUCCUACGGGAGAAAGCAGGGGACCUUCGGGCCUUGCGCUAUCAGAGGAGCCUAGGUCGGAUUAGCUAGUUGGUGGGGUAAUGGCUCACCAAGGCGACGAUCCGUAACUGGUCUGAGAGGAUGAUCAGUCACACUGGAACUGAGACACGGUCCAGACUCCUACGGGAGGCAGCAGUGGGGAAUAUUGGACAAUGGGCGAAAGCCUGAUCCAGCCAUGCCGCGUGUGUGAAGAAGGUCUUCGGAUUGUAAAGCACUUUAAGUUGGGAGGAAGGGCAGUAAGUUAAUACCUUGCUGUUUUGACGUUACCGACAGAAUAAGCACCGGCUAACUCUGUGCCAGCCGCCGCCGUAA